RNAcentral lists this long non-coding RNA (252 nucleotides) under Lathyrus oleraceus (garden pea). RNAcentral's name for it is "Pisum sativum (pea) long non-coding RNA (PSAT_LNC014029)". Lineage: Eukaryota; Viridiplantae; Streptophyta; Magnoliopsida; Fabales; Fabaceae. The record is from RNAcentral.
AUACCAGAAGAGGAAAAAAUUAGAAGUAUUGAGAGACUUGACAGUAUCUUUGGUUGGGUGCGAAUGAAGACUGAUAAGGAUGUUAGGGAAAUGAUGUUCGGUCGAGACGACAUCAAUUUGAUUAUUGUAAUCAGUUGGCAAUAUUUUUGUUUUCAGAUAGCUUAUUUUGUACUGAUGUUUGUUGUGAACCUCGUUGUAACAAAAACUUAAUGAUAUAUAAUGAUUGAAGGUUACAGAAAUACAAUGUUACAA